This 345-nucleotide long non-coding RNA is filed under the name Mytilus galloprovincialis (Mediterranean mussel). Lineage: Eukaryota; Metazoa; Mollusca; Bivalvia; Mytilida; Mytilidae. The record is from RNAcentral.
UUUACUUUACUACAUUGGUUAGAGGUAUAGGGGGAGGGUUGAGAUCUCACAAACAUGUUUAACCCCGCCGCAUUUUUGCGCCUGUCCCAAGUCAGGAGCCUCUGGCCUUUGUUAGUCUUGUAUUAUUUUAAUUUUAGUUUCUUGUGUACAGUUUGGAAAUUAGUAUGGCGUUCAUUAUCACUGGACUAGUAUAUAUUUGUUUAGGGGCCAGCUGAAGGACGCCUCCGGGUGCGGGAAUUUCCCGCUACAUUGAAGACCUGUUGGUGACCCUCUGCUGUUGUUUUUUAUUUGGGCGGGUUGUUGUCUCUUUGACACAUUCCCCAUUUCCAUUCUCAAUUUAAUGUA